UGUUGUUUGGAAAAUUCUGGAACGGCUUUGUCCCCAAAAGCCGUUCCGAA
RNAcentral lists this small RNA (50 nucleotides) under uncultured Micromonas. RNAcentral describes it as "partial Cyanobacteria transfer-messenger RNA". Lineage: Eukaryota; Viridiplantae; Chlorophyta; Mamiellophyceae; Mamiellales. The record is from RNAcentral.